Non-coding RNA from Danio rerio (zebrafish), 109 nucleotides. The record is from Rfam. NCBI's taxonomy places the organism in Eukaryota, Metazoa, Chordata, Actinopteri, Cypriniformes, Danionidae.
GCUUACGGCCAUACCACCCUGGAAAUGCCUGAACUCGGAAGUAAAGCAGGGUCGGGCCUGGUUAGUACUUGGAUGGGAGACCGCCUGGGAAUACCAGGUGCUGUAAGCU